RNAcentral lists this ribosomal RNA (373 nucleotides) under Westerdykella angulata. RNAcentral's name for it is "SSU rRNA". It matches the Rfam family "Eukaryotic small subunit ribosomal RNA", at positions 831 to 1204 of the family's 1831-position model. The record is from RNAcentral. Lineage: Eukaryota; Fungi; Ascomycota; Dothideomycetes; Pleosporales; Sporormiaceae.
UGGUUCUAUUUUGUUGGUUUCUAGGACCGCCGUAAUGAUUAAUAGGGACAGUCGGGGGCAUCAGUAUUCAAUUGUCAGAGGUGAAAUUCUUGGAUUUAUUGAAGACUAACUACUGCGAAAGCAUUUGCCAAGGAUGUUUUCAUUAAUCAGUGAACGAAAGUUAGGGGAUCGAAGACGAUCAGAUACCGUCGUAGUCUUAACCGUAAACUAUGCCGACUAGGGAUCGGGCGAUGUUCUCUCUUGACUCGCUCGGCACCUUACGAGAAAUCAAAGUUUUUGGGUUCUGGGGGGAGUAUGGUCGCAAGGCUGAAACUUAAUGAAAUUGACGGAAGGGCACCACCAGGCGUGGAGCCUGCGGCUUAAUUGACUCAAC